Molecule: transfer RNA, 65 nt
Filed under: Dipodomys ordii (Ord's kangaroo rat)
Lineage: Eukaryota; Metazoa; Chordata; Mammalia; Rodentia; Heteromyidae
Rfam family: tRNA
About the family: Transfer RNA (tRNA) molecules are approximately 80 nucleotides in length. Their secondary structure includes four short double-helical elements and three loops (D, anti-codon, and T loops).
Source: Rfam by way of RNAcentral
GGUGGCUCAGUGGUAGAGUGCUUGCCUUGCAUGCAGGAGGUCCUGGGUUCAAUUCCUCAGCACCA